GGCCAGACUCCUACGGGAGGCAGCAGUGGGGAAUAUUGCACAAUGGGGGAAACCCUGAUGCAGCGACGCCGCGUGAGUGAAGAAGUAUUUCGGUAUGUAAAGCUCUAUCAGCAGGGAAGAAAAUGACGGUACCUGACUAAGAAGCCCCGGCUAACUACGUGCCAGCAGCCGCGGUAAUACGUAGGGGGCAAGCGUUAUCCGGAUUUACUGGGUGUAAAGGGAGCGUAGACGGCAUGGCAAGUCAGAUGUGAAAGCCCGGGGCUCAACCCCGGGACUGCAUUUGAAACUGUCAGGCUGGAGUGCAGGAGAGGUAAGUGGAAUUCCUAGUGUAGCGGUGAAAUGCGUAGAUAUUAGGAGGAACACCAGUGGCGAAGGCGGCUUACUGGACUGUAACUGACGUUGAGGCUCGAAAGCGUGGGGAGCAAACAGGAUUAGAUACCCUCGUAC
This 447-nucleotide ribosomal RNA is filed under the name uncultured bacterium. RNAcentral describes it as "bacterial SSU rRNA". It matches the Rfam family "Bacterial small subunit ribosomal RNA", at positions 329 to 793 of the family's 1533-position model. The record is from RNAcentral.